UAGCCUAGUGGUUAAGGCUAUGGAUCACUAAUCCGGAGACGGCGGGUUCGAUUCCCGU
Molecule: non-coding RNA, 58 nt
Organism: Aedes albopictus (Asian tiger mosquito)
Lineage: Eukaryota; Metazoa; Arthropoda; Insecta; Diptera; Culicidae
Source: Rfam